Molecule: small nuclear RNA, 18 nt
Filed under: Arabidopsis thaliana (thale cress)
Lineage: Eukaryota; Viridiplantae; Streptophyta; Magnoliopsida; Brassicales; Brassicaceae
Description: snRNA_15391
Source: RNAcentral
AUUAUUUUGAUUCAAGAC